AUGCCCCGCAUGGUCUCCCAGUGCUUCCAGUCCAUCCCAGUGUGGUCUCCCAGUACAGCCCAGUGCUCCCAGUCCAUCCCAGUCCGGUCUCCCAGUCCCUCCCAGUGCUCCCAGUCCAGCCCAGUGUGGUCUCCCAGUCCAGCCCAGUCCAUCCCAGUGCUCCCAGUCCCUCCCAGUGCUCCCAGUCCCUCCCAGUGCUCCCAGUCCGUCCCAGUCCAUCCCAGUCCAUCCCACUCCGGUCUCCCAGUCCAUCCCAGUCCAUCCCAGUGCUCCCAUUCCCUCCCAGUCCUCCCAUUCCCUCCCAGUCCUCCCAGUCCAUCCCAGUCUUCCCAGUCCCUCCCAGUCCGUCCCAGUCCCUCCCAGUGGGUCCCGGUGCCGCACUCACACGUGACCCUGAGGGUGACGCUGGCGCUGCCCCCUCCCCCGGCCUCGCUGCGGCUGUAGCAGCGCAGGGUGACGCCGUCGUCCCCGCGUGUCACCGGCAGCGUCACCCGGCUGCGGGACAGCGCCGCGCCCACAGUGUCACCGGCACCCGGCGUGACAACGGCACCCACUGUGUCACCGGCACCCAGAGUGUCACCCUGCCACGGCACCGCCAGCGGGACCCCGUCCUGAGGGACAGCGGGGGACAAGGGGGGGGACAAUGGGUGAUAAGCAGGUGACAGUGGGUGACAAUGGGGGGCAGUGGGGUGAUAAUGGGGUGAUAAAGGGUGACAAUGGGGGACAGUGGGUGACAAUGGGGGACAAUGGGGACAAUAGGCGACAAUGGGGUGAUAAUGGGUGAUAAUGGGGGGACAAUGGGUGACAAUGGGGGACAAUGGGUGAUAAUGGGGGACAAUGGGGUGAUAAUGGGUGACAAUGGGUGACAAUGGGGUGAUAAUGGGUGACAAUGGGGUGACAAUGGAUGACAAUGGGGGACAAUGGGGUGAUAAUGGGAGACAAUGGGUGAGAAUGGGGGACAAUGGGUGACAAUGGGGUGAUAAUGGGGGACAAUGGGUGAGAAUGGGUGACAAUGGGUGACAAUGGGUGACAAUGGGGGACAAUGGGGGACAAUGGGUGAGAAUGGGUGACAAUGGGGGACAAUGGGGUGAUAAUGGGUGAGAAUGGGUGAUAAUGGGUGACAAUGGGGUGAUAAUGGGGUGGCAACAGGGGACAAUGGGUGACAAUGCGGUGAUAAUGGGUGGUAAUGGGUGAUAAUGGGUGACAGUUGGGUGACAGUGGGUGGCAAUGGGUGGCAAUGGGGUGAUAAUGGGGGACAGUGGGUGAUAAUGGGGGACAAUGGGAGACAAUGGGUGACAAAUGGGUGAUAAUGGUGACAAGGGGGGACAAUGGGGUGACAAUGGGUGAUAAUGGGUGACAAUGGGUGACAAUGGGGGACAACGGGACAAUUGGGUGACAAUCAGUGAAAAUGGGUGAUAAUGGGUGACAAUGGGGUGACAAUGGG
RNAcentral lists this long non-coding RNA (1444 nucleotides) under Numida meleagris (helmeted guineafowl). RNAcentral's name for it is "lncRNA (ENSNMEG00000003076.1)". The record is from RNAcentral. Lineage: Eukaryota; Metazoa; Chordata; Aves; Galliformes; Numididae.